RNAcentral lists this ribosomal RNA (590 nucleotides) under Carabus dufouri. Its description in RNAcentral is "partial large subunit ribosomal RNA". It matches the Rfam family "Bacterial large subunit ribosomal RNA", at positions 1921 to 2758 of the family's 2925-position model. The record is from RNAcentral. Lineage: Eukaryota; Metazoa; Arthropoda; Insecta; Coleoptera; Carabidae.
UUUUAAAUGGCCGCAGUAUUUUGACUGUGCAAAGGUAGCAUAAUCAUUAGUUUUUUAAUUAAAAGCUUGUAUGAAAGGCUGGACGAGGUAAAAUCUGUCUCUAUCUAAAUUAUAGUAGAAUUUAACUUUUAAGUUAAAAGGCUUAAAUAUUAUUAAAAGACGAGAAGACCCUAUAGAUCUUUAUAGCUUAUUAAAUUAAAUUAAUUUAGAAAUAUUAAUGUUUUAUUUAAUUAAGGUAUUUUAUUGGGGUAAUAAAAAGAUUAAAUAAAUUCUUUUUUAUAAUAAACAUUAAUUUAUGAAUAUUAAUGAUCCAGUUUUACUGAUUAUAAGAUUAAGUUACCUUAGGGAUAACAGCGUAAUUUUUUUAGAGAGUUCAUAUCGAUAAAAAAGUUUGCGACCUCGAUGUUGGAUUAAAGAUUAUUUUAGGUGUAGAAGCUUAAUAAUUUUGGUCUGUUCGACCAUUAAAUCUUUACAUGAUCUGAGUUCAGACCGGCGUAAGCCAGGUCGGUUUCUAUCUUUAAUAAAAUAAAAUAUUUUAGUACGAAAGGACCAAAUAUUUAAUAUAUUUAUAUUUAAUUUACUGAAUAUUA